Gadus macrocephalus (Pacific cod) is the source of this 2155-nucleotide long non-coding RNA. RefSeq lists it as uncharacterized. The transcript has 7 exons. The record is from RefSeq and is a predicted model, not a curated record. NCBI's taxonomy places the organism in Eukaryota, Metazoa, Chordata, Actinopteri, Gadiformes, Gadidae.
UCACCUCAACCGGGAUUCGAACCAGCGCUUUUUUAUGUACGCACGCAUUUUCUUUCUCUCUUCUGAUUGGCUAGUCAGCGUUCUAUGGCUAUGAAAAUUCAAACUGCAACAAUCAGCGUGGGCACCGCCCUCAUUUCCCACGGUAUCGUGUCUAUAUAAAGCGGUGUACCGUCGCUCAUCUUCCUUUUUCUUUCAGCACUUGUGCUUAUCUGCUAGAAUUGAGAACGCUACAAAGUAAGAAGAAGAUGACUUCAGCACGGAUCUCCCAAGCCGGUGGCAGCGGCUCGGGCGAGGCCGCGGACAAACGGCCAUUUUCAGGGCCACCUGAGAGCGCUCCUGGAGCUAGGUCCUUUUCAGGACUCCUAUGCGUCUCCUGUGGGCACCGGGUGACGGGCACUUGGCGUGUUUUCGGCGCCGACCACGCCGCGGCUGCUAUGGCGGCCUCCAUCUCCUGUGUCGCCUGCCGGGAGCUGCCUGAAGAGGGGAUCCUCUCCAGGCAUCUCUUUUCCCCUGCGGUGGACCUGGCUGACGCCAUCGACCUGUUCAGGGCCGGCCCUGACGACAACGAUGGCAUCAUCGACGCCGACGACGACGCCUCCAUGGACGACGUCUUCGGCGUCCGGUUUUUCCCGCUCCCGGGUUUCAACCGCCACCGCCGUGCAACACGAGAGACCGCGCCGGAUGGCCGAUCUCUUCGGGGAGAUCAUGAUAGACAAUCAUUUCCGUGCUUGGAUACGUUUCGUCCAUGCAAAGAGAAGCAACUUCGCUGCCUCCUCUUUGACGAGACACACGGUGUUGUGUGAAAAACUCUUCACACCGGACAGCUACAACCAAGGAGAUCUGAUGGAAUUGCGCCUGGGAUUAUCGCAAAUGGAGCUGUGCCAUCUGUGCAUACAAGUCUACCAGUACCAGCAACAUCUGGGGAGUGAGUCUAGCACUAGCAGAGAAUCUGCGCGCCGAAAACGGGAGCUUUGUACAAUUUUGGGAGAGAGUGCUGCCAGCAAAGAUGGGGCGCGUGCAACUUCCACUUUAGAGCCUGAAGAUGAUGGAGAUAAUGGAGACACCUCUAAGAUAGACCCUGAGCCAGUAGUGGACCAUCGUGGAUCUCAGUGCAACAUACGAUGUUUCCAUCGUUCAUUAGCUGUUCAGGUAAAGCCUCAGAUGGUGGAUGUGGGGACUCAAACCGAAAGGUUUGAGAUACGAAGAUCGACUCCACUGGCCAGCCCUGAACAAAGAUCACCAGCAGCCACUAAACUGGAGAAUUGCUGCCAGGAAAGCACUGGUGAAAGAUGUUCGACAAUUGUCACCUCAGCAUCAGACAUUCUCCCCGGAGGCCUACCAUUCCCUCAUCCUGCACCUUGCUCCCAAACACACUGGUUUCUCUUUUCUUGGGUGGUACAGCAGGCUUCUCUUGGCGGCCCUACAUUUCAACAGUAAUGGCAACAGAGAUGUAGCUCGAACCAGUGAGGGUGAGGCACGCUACGCCGUUCGCUACCCGCGGUUUCGGAAAGGUGGCUGGGUAGUCCGCCCCAUCAAGGAGAAACCAUCUUAUGGAUACACAACAAAUCUUAUGGUCUCUCUGGCAGAGGAAUACUCUAGAUCACCCCAGGCCCUACAAGAAAGCAGUGCGGUCUUGUCUUCUGCUGCCCCGCCCCCCAUCACCACUUCCCUCCAGAAGGUUGCCAAGGAUGAGGCAGACAGCCUCCAUCUCGGACGACACUUGCGUUUUAACAUGGACUGCUGUGCUGCUUUGAAGUUCCUGGACACCAGAGCUCAGGAGUACCUGUCACAGGACUGCUGGAAGACCACAGAGGCUAUUAUCACAGAGGCCAUUUCUGGAAAUCUCGGAAACUAUGUUAUGAAACGAUAAGUCCUCAACUCUUUUCUGAAACCCAUCUGUCCCUUUCUGCCUCAAAAAAGUCAGACUGCUGGAACUCCAUCCAGGUCAACUCCUUGGCCAUGCCCUUGUCCUUGUAAAGGGACAACACUCUGGAGGGGCAGUAUAUGUAUUUCCCUCGGAUGUCAGGGAAACGGGCAUGGACAUGAGGGCUGCCAGGACCCUACUUCGGUGGCUGGUGACAAAAUCUGAACAGGCGACCUGUUGGACGCUGCAGUGCAGACUUUCUCUUUGUCCUCUGCCACCUUCUUCAGGGUA